RNAcentral lists this ribosomal RNA (405 nucleotides) under uncultured bacterium. RNAcentral's name for it is "bacterial SSU rRNA". It matches the Rfam family "Bacterial small subunit ribosomal RNA", at positions 969 to 1375 of the family's 1533-position model. The record is from RNAcentral.
CCUUACCUACUCUUGACAUCCUGCGAACUUGGUAGAGAUACCUUGGUGCCUUCGGGAACGCAGAGACAGGUGCUGCAUGGCUGUCGUCUGCUCGUGUUGUGAAAUGUUGGGUUAAGUCCCGUAACGAGCGCAACCCUUGUCCUUAGUUGCCAUCAUUUAGUUGGGGACUCUAAGGAGACUGCCGGUGACAAACCGGAGGAAGGCGGGGACGACGUCAAGUCAUCAUGGCCCUUACGAGUAGGGCUACACACGUGCUACAAUGGCAAGUACAGAGGGCCGCAAAGCCGCGAGGUGGAGCUAAUCUCACAAAGCUUGUCGUAGUCCGGAUUGGAGUCUGCAACUCGACUCCAUGAAGUCGGAAUCGCUAGUAAUCGUGAAUCAGAAUGUCACGGUGAAUACGUUCCC